AAUGAACGUUGGCGGCAUGGAUUAGGCAUGCAAGUCGAGCGAGAAGAGUUUUGAAGCUUGCUUUAGAACUCGGACAGCGGCGAAAGGGAGAGUAACGCGUAGUUAUGUGCCCUAGGGUCCGGAAUAGCCACGGGAAACUGUGGGUAAUGCCGGAUAACAUCCCCGGAUCAAAGGUGUGAUUCCGCCCUAGGAGCAGACUGCGUCCUACUAGCUAGUUGGGGGGGUAAUGGCCCACCAAGGCGAUGAUGGGUAGCGGGUGUGAGAGCAUGACCCGCCUCACUGGGAGUGAGACACUGCCCAGACACCUACGGGUGGCUGCAGUCGAGAAUCUUCGGCAAUGGGCGAAAGCCUGACCGAGCGAUGCCGCGUGCGGGAUGAAGGCCCUCGGGUUGUAAACCGCUGUCGUAGGGGAGGAAGGUUCCGUGAAGAGCGGAAUUUGACCUAUCCUAGGAGGAAGUACGGGCUAAGUUCGUGCCAGCAGCCGCGGUAA
Molecule: ribosomal RNA, 490 nt
Filed under: uncultured bacterium
Lineage: Bacteria
Description: partial 16S ribosomal RNA
Rfam family: Bacterial small subunit ribosomal RNA
Source: RNAcentral